CCCCAUGCUUAAAACCCUCAAUGCGAAAAUUCCUCUUCCUUGGGUUACUCAUCUUCUUCUAUUUCAAGCAAAUACACAAACACCUACAAUGCAUAAAAAAAAAAAAAAAAAAAACAUAAUUAUCCAUUACAUAACCUAGAUUAAUUCCAUUAAAAAAAACAUCAAAUUGAAGAGAAAUGAGAGAUUAACAACAAGAAAAGCUAGAGAAGUUACCGAGAAAGCGAUUAUGAGGUUGAAAUGAAGCUUUUGAGUUGAGAGAAAAUGGCAGCAAUUUUUCUGUUUGGUUUGGUAGUGAAGAAGAACGUUGGUUUAGUUGAAUGGUUUCAGCGCGUCGUACUUAUAUGAUACGAAGUUUGGUUUUGUAUUAUGGUUUCAUUCAUUGUAUUAUUCAAAAUUAGUAAAAAAA
Molecule: long non-coding RNA, 406 nt
Filed under: Medicago truncatula (barrel medic)
Lineage: Eukaryota; Viridiplantae; Streptophyta; Magnoliopsida; Fabales; Fabaceae
Description: long non-coding RNA (MTRU_LNC004961)
Source: RNAcentral